UGGCUCAGGACGAACGCUGGMGGCGUGCSUAACACAYGCAAGUCGARCGGAGAAUCAKCAAUGWUUCUUAGUGGCGAACGGGUGAGUAACGCGUAGACAACCUGCCUUCUAGAUGGGGACAACACUGCGAAAGUGGUGCUAAUACCGAAUGUUGUAAUGAGCCUGCAUGGGCUUGAUACUAAAGGUGGCCUCUAUAUAUAAGCUAYCACUAGAAKAUGGGUCUGCGUCUGAUUAKCUAGUUGGUGAGGUAAUGGCUCACCAAGGCKAUGAUCAGUAGCCGGUCUGAGARGAUGAACGGCCACACUGGGACUGASACACGGCMCASACUCCUACGGGAGGCAGCAGUGGGGAAUCUUCCRCARUGGACGAAAGUCUGACRGAGCAACSCCGCGUGAGUGAAGAAGGUUYUCRGAUCGWAAAGCUCUGUCUUUGARGACRAAUGUGUWUAAUGURAAUARUGUUAWAUAAUGACGGCUCUAGAGGARGAAGCCACGGCUAACUACGUGCCAACAGCCGCGGUAAUACAUAAGUGGCAAGCGUUGUCCGGAAUUAUUGGGCGUAAAGCGCGCGCACGCGGGAUAUUAACUCUGUUAUAAAAGUUCGGCGCUCAACCCCGUGAUGGAAUGGAAACUAAUAUUCUUGAGUGCAAGAGAC
Molecule: ribosomal RNA, 654 nt
Filed under: Firmicutes bacterium BV9-3a
Lineage: Bacteria; Bacillati; Bacillota
Description: partial 16S ribosomal RNA
Rfam family: Bacterial small subunit ribosomal RNA
Source: RNAcentral